RNAcentral lists this ribosomal RNA (1207 nucleotides) under Streptococcus salivarius. RNAcentral's name for it is "bacterial SSU rRNA". It matches the Rfam family "Bacterial small subunit ribosomal RNA", at positions 34 to 1213 of the family's 1533-position model. The record is from RNAcentral. Lineage: Bacteria; Bacillati; Bacillota; Bacilli; Lactobacillales; Streptococcaceae.
CGCCAUGGCGGGGUGCUAUACAUGCAAGUAGAACGCUGAAGAGAGGAGCUUGCUCUUCUUGGAUGAGUUGCGAACGGGUGAGUAACGCGUAGGUAACCUGCCUUGUAGCGGGGGAUAACUAUUGGAAACGAUAGCUAAUACCGCAUAACAAUGGAUGACACAUGUCAUUUAUUUGAAAGGGGCAAUUGCUCCACUACAAGAUGGACCUGCGUUGUAUUAGCUAGUAGGUGAGGUAACGGCUCACCUAGGCGACGAUACAUAGCCGACCUGAGAGGGUGAUCGGCCACACUGGGACUGAGACACGGCCCAGACUCCUACGGGAGGCAGCAGUAGGGAAUCUUCGGCAAUGGGGGCAACCCUGACCGAGCAACGCCGCGUGAGUGAAGAAGGUUUUCGGAUCGUAAAGCUCUGUUGUAAGUCAAGAACGAGUGUGAGAGUGGAAAGUUCACACUGUGACGGUAGCUUACCAGAAAGGGACGGCUAACUACGUGCCAGCAGCCGCGGUAAUACGUAGGUCCCGAGCGUUGUCCGGAUUUAUUGGGCGUAAAGCGAGCGCAGGCGGUUUGAUAAGUCUGAAGUUAAAGGCUGUGGCUCAACCAUAGUUCGCUUUGGAAACUGUCAAACUUGAGUGCAGAAGGGGAGAGUGGAAUUCCAUGUGUAGCGGUGAAAUGCGUAGAUAUAUGGAGGAACACCGGUGGCGAAAGCGGCUCUCUGGUCUGUAACUGACGCUGAGGCUCGAAAGCGUGGGGAGCGAACAGGAUUAGAUACCCUGGUAGUCCACGCCGUAAACGAUGAGUGCUAGGUGUUGGAUCCUUUCCGGGAUUCAGUGCCGCAGCUAACGCAUUAAGCACUCCGCCUGGGGAGUACGACCGCAAGGUUGAAACUCAAAGGAAUUGACGGGGGCCCGCACAAGCGGUGGAGCAUGUGGUUUAAUUCGAAGCAACGCGAAGAACCUUACCAGGUCUUGACAUCCCGAUGCUAUUUCUAGAGAUAGAAAGUUACUUCGGUACAUCGGUGACAGGUGGUUGCAUGGUUGUCGUCAGCUCGUGUCGUGAGAUUGUUGGGUUAAGUCCCGCAACGAGCGCAACCCCUAUUGUUAGUUGCCAUCAUUCAGUUGGCACUCUAGCGAGACUGCCGGUAAUAAACCCGAAGAAAGGUGGGGAAUGAACGUUCAAAUCAUUCAUGCCCCCUUUAUUGAACCCUUGGG